UACGAAGGGUGCAAGCGUUACUCGGAAUUACUGGGCGUAAAGCGUGCGUAGGCGGUUCGUUAAGUCUGAUGUGAAAGCCCUGGGCUCAACCUGGGAAUGGCAUUGGAAACUGGCGAUCUAGAGUGCGGUAGAGGGUAGUGGAAUUCCCGGUGUAGCAGUGAAAUGCGUAGAGAUCGGGAGGAACAUCUGUGGCGAAGGCGACUGCCUGGACCAGCACUGACACUGAGGCGCGAAAGCGUGGGGAGCAAACAGG
RNAcentral lists this ribosomal RNA (253 nucleotides) under uncultured bacterium. RNAcentral describes it as "partial 16S ribosomal RNA". It matches the Rfam family "Bacterial small subunit ribosomal RNA", at positions 524 to 776 of the family's 1533-position model. The record is from RNAcentral.